RNAcentral lists this transfer RNA (92 nucleotides) under Granulosicoccus antarcticus IMCC3135. RNAcentral describes it as "tRNA-Ser". It matches the Rfam family "tRNA". Rfam says of the family: Transfer RNA (tRNA) molecules are approximately 80 nucleotides in length. Their secondary structure includes four short double-helical elements and three loops (D, anti-codon, and T loops). RNAcentral also lists the same sequence under 3 other names. Lineage: Bacteria; Pseudomonadati; Pseudomonadota; Gammaproteobacteria; Chromatiales; Granulosicoccaceae. The record is from RNAcentral.
GGAGAGGUGGCCGAGUGGUCGAAGGCGCCAGCCUGGAAAGUUGGUAUACGGGGUAACUCGUAUCGAGGGUUCGAAUCCCUCUCUCUCCGCCA